CGAAAUUGAAAGGCGGCUUCGGCUGUCACUUAUGGAUGGACCCGCGUCGCAUUAGCUAGUUGGUGAGGUAACGGCUCACCAAGGCAACGAUGCGUAGCCAACCUGAGAGGGUGAUCGGCCACACUGGGACUGAGCCACGAAAAAAAUUUCUACGGGAGGCAGCAGUAGGGAAUCUUCCGCAAUGGACGAAAGUCUGACGGAGCAACGCCGCGUGAGUGAUGAAGGCUUUCGGGUCGUAAAACUCUGUUGUUAGGGAAGAACAAGUGCUAGUUGAAUAAGCUGGCACCUUGACGGUACCUAACCAGAAAGCCACGGCUAACUACGUGCCAGCAGCCGCGGUAAUACGUAGGUGGCAAGCGUUAUCCGGAAUUAUUGGGCGUAAAGCGCGCGCAGGUGGUUUCUUAAGUCUGAUGUGAAAGCCCACGGCUCAACCCGUGUAGGGUCAUUGGAAACUGGGAGACUUGAGUGCAGAAGAGGAAAGUGGAAUUCCAUGUGUAGCGUGAAAUGCGUAGAGAUAUGGAGGAACACCAGUGGCG
RNAcentral lists this ribosomal RNA (536 nucleotides) under Bacillus anthracis (anthrax bacterium). RNAcentral's name for it is "bacterial SSU rRNA". It matches the Rfam family "Bacterial small subunit ribosomal RNA", at positions 195 to 717 of the family's 1533-position model. The record is from RNAcentral. Lineage: Bacteria; Bacillati; Bacillota; Bacilli; Caryophanales; Bacillaceae.